Molecule: long non-coding RNA, 640 nt
Organism: Anopheles darlingi
Lineage: Eukaryota; Metazoa; Arthropoda; Insecta; Diptera; Culicidae
Exons: 4
Source: RefSeq, a predicted model, not a curated record
CGGUUUAAGUGAUAAGUUUUUGGGGCUUGUUAACUUUAAUGAUACAUAAAAGGGUAAAUUCAAGUCAUUUUUAACUCCCGCCAUCGUUGCCGUUGGAAUAUAGGCCGGUGUAAGAAACUUCGAGAACGGUGGCGCGAAAAAUCCCCAAAAAUAUGAGACUUAACCCAAGAAAAAGGAUACCAACGCUGCGGGAAGCUUUCCUCAUCAAUUUUAGAUCCGCAAUCACCAAGCCAAGACGCUAGAAUUAAGCUUGCCGGUAGCGGAUACCAAAGGGAACAAACAUCCAGAACAUCCGUGUCCGCGCAAUAAAAAAGGUGCCCUGUUGUGUCUAGUGCCAUCAGUGCUGAUCUCUUGCUAAGGCGAAAGGAUUCCAGGAGAAGCAGCGUUACAGGAAAAAAAUAAUAGACACAAUCAACCAACACUCAAUUUAACCCUAGAGAGCACAGAAAUCUGCGGCCGAGAUCCGAGAGUCUCAAAAGGAAACCAUCGGAAACACCUCCUGCAUGUUUUAAGCUAACAAAGGCCACAAUCAGAUUGGACCUAGCCGUAAAAACUUCACUGAAGAAGAAGAAGAAGCUGCAAGCGAUUAAUCAACAAAGGUCAAGAUCAACAUAAAAUAGGUCAAUUCGCCGGUAAAAGA